CGCGGCCUAUCAGCUUGUUGGUGAGGUAAUGGCUCACCAAGGCGACGACGGGUAGCCGGCCUGAGAGGGUGACCGGCCACACUGGGACUGAGACACGGCCCAGACUCCUACGGGAGGCAGCAGUGGGGAAUAUUGCACAAUGGGCGAAAGCCUGAUGCAGCGACGCCGCGUGAGGGAUGACGGCCUUCGGGUUGUAAACCUCUUUCAGUAGGGAAGAAGCGAAAGUGACGGUACCUGCAGAAGAAGCACCGGCUAACUACGUGCCAGCAGCCGCGGUAAUACGUAGGGUGCGAGCGUUAUCCGGAAUUAUUGGGCGUAAAGAGCUCGUAGGCGGUUUGUCGCGUCUGUCGUGAAAGUCCGGGGCUUAACCCCGGAUCUGCGGUGGGUACGGGCAGACUAGAGUGCAGUAGGGGAGACUGAAAUUCCUGGUGUAGCGGUGGAAUGCGCAGAUAUCAGGAGGAACACCGAUGGCGAAGGCAGGUCUCUGGGCUGUAACUGACGCUGAGGAGCGAAAGCAUGGGGAGCGAACAGGAUUAGAUACCCUGGUAGUCCAUGCCGUAAACGUUGGGCACUAGGUGUGGGGAACAUUCCACGUUUUCCGCGCCGCAGCUAACGCAUUAAGUGCCCCGCCUGGGGAGUACGG
Molecule: ribosomal RNA, 643 nt
Filed under: uncultured bacterium
Lineage: Bacteria
Description: bacterial SSU rRNA
Rfam family: Bacterial small subunit ribosomal RNA
Source: RNAcentral